GGUGAUGCCCUUAGUAAUGGCGAAUGAAACGGGCCAAGUCCAGCACCGAACUGCUGACUCAUUGGGUCAUGCGGAAUGUGGUGUGUGAGACCGUCUCAUCUCGAUCAGAUAUUCAGCUCAAGUUUGCCUUGACUGGGACCAUUGCCCACAGAGGGUGAUAGGCCCGUACGGCGUCUGUCUUUUCGAGCAGACACGUCUCUAGAGUCGAGUUGCUUGGGAGUGCAGCUCAAAGUGCGAGGUAAACUCCUCGUAAGACUAAAUAUCACCCCGAGACCGAUAGCGAACAAGUACCGUGAGGGAAAGUUGAAAAGAACUUUGAAGAGAGAGUUAAAGAGUACGUGAAACUGCAGAGUGGUAAACAGAGGCGUCCUCGAAGUUUGAAACAAAGGUCCAUGUCGUCGGCUUGCUCGUCGGCUGUACCCCUUUGUUUUUGAACACGACGGCUUGUUGUUGGCUAAUCUGUGAGAUGCGAAUGACGUUGGUUUCGUCCUCGUGAUGUGCCAGCUUCGCGAAUCUUGGUCUGCCGGCGACAGGUGUGACAUUGUCGAUCAAUGUCGGAACGUUGUGAGUAGGUUGUUGGCGUCUCUGACCCGUCUUGAAACACGGACCAAGGAGUCUAACAUGUGUGCAAGUCGCAGAGUUUAAAACUCAUGGGCGAAGUGAAAGCAAAGAGUGCUGUUCGGUACUCGAGGGGUGAUCGGUUGCACUCGUGGCGGCCGCGCAACCCCGGCGUUUUGCAAUGACCUCGUUCAUGCAGAACAGCAAGAGCAUACAUGUUGGGA
Molecule: ribosomal RNA, 782 nt
Filed under: Caromiobenella ohtsukai
Lineage: Eukaryota; Metazoa; Arthropoda; Copepoda; Monstrilloida; Monstrillidae
Description: partial large subunit ribosomal RNA
Rfam family: Eukaryotic large subunit ribosomal RNA
Source: RNAcentral